Molecule: ribosomal RNA, 159 nt
Filed under: uncultured bacterium
Lineage: Bacteria
Description: partial 16S ribosomal RNA
Source: RNAcentral
CACGAAGUUAGCCGGUGCUUGCUAAGGAGGUACCGUCAUGCUGCUGGCUAUGAACCAGCAGCGGUUCGUCCCUCCCCACAGAGCUUUACGACCCGAAGGCCUUCAUCACUCACGCGGCGUGGCUGGAUCAGGCUUGCGCCCAUUGUCCAAUAUUCCUUA